AACCCAUUGAUUUAAUCAAAUUAAGUCAAUUAAUAAUCAAAUUGCUAAUCGAUCCUUCUACAACACUUGCACUAAGUUAAAUGUCAAUCGUAUUGAUCGUUUAACCCUAGAAUGAUUCUUAAUCAUUGAUCAACCAUCCGAUCGGAUCGUGAACUCUAAUGUGUGUGACCUCAUAGAUCCAAACCUAAGUUAGUAGUAUAAAAAUAAUU
This 209-nucleotide long non-coding RNA is filed under the name Elaeis guineensis (African oil palm). RNAcentral describes it as "long non-coding RNA (EGUI_LNC051381)". Lineage: Eukaryota; Viridiplantae; Streptophyta; Magnoliopsida; Arecales; Arecaceae. The record is from RNAcentral.